Molecule: ribosomal RNA, 253 nt
Filed under: uncultured bacterium
Lineage: Bacteria
Description: partial 16S ribosomal RNA
Rfam family: Bacterial small subunit ribosomal RNA
Source: RNAcentral
UACGAAGGGGGCUAGCGUUGUUCGGAUUUACUGGGCGUAAAGGGCGCGUAGGCGGAUUUUUAAGUCGGGGGUGAAAUCCCGGAGCUCAACUCCGGAACUGCCUUCGAUACUGAAAGUCUGGAGCACGGUAGAGGUGAGUGGAAUUCCGAGUGUAGAGGUGAAAUUCGUAGAUAUUCGGAGGAACACCAGUGGCGAAGGCGGCUCACUGGACCGUUUCUGACGAUGAGGCGCGAAAGAGUGGGGAUCAAACAGG